AUACGAAGGGUGCAAGCGUUACUCGGAAUUACUGGGCGUAAAGCGUGCGUAGGUGGUUGUUUAAGUCUGUCGUGAAAGCCCUGGGCUCAACCUGGGAAUGGCGAUGGAAACUGGGAGACUAGAGUGAGGCAGAGGGUAGUGGAAUUCCUGGUGUAGCAGUGAAAUGCGUAGAGAUCAGGAGGAACAUCCGUGGCGAAGGCGACUGCCAGGGCCAACACUGACACUGAGGCACGAAAGCGUGGUGAGCAAACGGGAUUAGAUACCCUGGUAGGCCGCGCGCUAAACGAUGCGAACUGGAUGUUGGGUGCAAUUUGGCACGCAGUAUCGAAGCUAACGCGUUAAGUUCGCCGCCUGGGGAGUACGGCCGCAAGGUUGAAACUCAAAUGAUUUGGCGGGG
Molecule: ribosomal RNA, 397 nt
Filed under: uncultured bacterium
Lineage: Bacteria
Description: partial 16S ribosomal RNA
Rfam family: Bacterial small subunit ribosomal RNA
Source: RNAcentral